RNAcentral lists this ribosomal RNA (180 nucleotides) under Bifidobacterium sp. 129. RNAcentral's name for it is "partial 16S ribosomal RNA". It matches the Rfam family "Bacterial small subunit ribosomal RNA", at positions 225 to 404 of the family's 1533-position model. Lineage: Bacteria; Bacillati; Actinomycetota; Actinomycetes; Bifidobacteriales; Bifidobacteriaceae. The record is from RNAcentral.
AUGGGGUCGCGUCCUAUCAGCUUGACGGGGGGGUAACGGCCCACCGUGGCUUCGACGGGUAGCCGGCCUGAGAGGGCGACCGGCCACAUUGGGACUGAGAUACGGCCCAGACUCCUACGGGAGGCAGCAGUGGGGAAUAUUGCACAAUGGGCGCAAGCCUGAUGCAGCGACGCCGCGUAG